GUGGAUUAGAUACCCUAGUAGUCCAUGCCGUAAACGUUGGGCGCUAGGUGUGGGACUCAUUCCACGAGUUCCGUGCCGCAGCUAACGCAUUAAGCGCCCCGCCUGGGGAGUACGGCCGCAAGGCUAAAACUCAAAGGAAUUGACGGGGGCCCGCACAAGCGGCGGAGCAUGCGGAUUAAUUCGAUGCAACGCGAAGAACCUUACCAAGGCUUGACAUAUACCGGAAACAUCCAGAGAUGGGUGCCCCUUUUAGGUCGGUAUACAGGUGGUGCACGGCCGUCGUCAACU
RNAcentral lists this ribosomal RNA (288 nucleotides) under uncultured bacterium. RNAcentral describes it as "partial 16S ribosomal RNA". It matches the Rfam family "Bacterial small subunit ribosomal RNA", at positions 773 to 1060 of the family's 1533-position model. The record is from RNAcentral.